UGAUUCCCCUAGUAACGGCGAGUGAAGAGGGAAAAGCUCAAAGUUGGAACCUGGCUGUCUUAGAUGGUCCGGAUUGUAAACUAAAGAGCGUGAAUCCAGGCAAGCCGGUUGACCAAGUCUCUUGGAAUAGAGCGCCACUGAGGGUGAGAGCCCCGUAAGUCGACUGAGCAUUUGUCUUUUGUGUUUCGCGUUCAAAGAGUCAGGUUGUUUGGGAAUGCAGCCUAAAGCUGGUGGUAAAUCCCACCUAAAGCUAAAUACAGGCGAGAGACCGAUAGCGAACAAGUACCGUGAGGGAAAGAUGAAAAGAACUUUGAAAAGAGAGUUAAACAGUAUGUGAAAUUGCCAAGAGGGAAGCAUUUGGAGUUAGACUGACUUGAGGUCAAUCAGCUUGGUCUUUGGACUGGGUGUACUUGGCCUCUAUGUCUGCCAAUAGCAGUUAGUUCUGGUGGAAAAAACUGGAGGGAAGGUAGUCCUUCGGGAUGUUUAUAGACCUUUGGAAAAUACACUGGAAUUGACUGAGGAAUGCAGUAGAUGCCAUUAAGGCUUCGUCUGCUGGGUACUAUGCGAGAGCACCUGGUAUUUUCAGCUUGCUGAUGUGCUGGGUUGUUUGAGUUUAGUUGCCUGGUAGAACUGUAAUC
RNAcentral lists this ribosomal RNA (638 nucleotides) under Lichtheimia koreana. Its description in RNAcentral is "partial large subunit ribosomal RNA". It matches the Rfam family "Eukaryotic large subunit ribosomal RNA", at positions 72 to 639 of the family's 3401-position model. Lineage: Eukaryota; Fungi; Mucoromycota; Mucoromycetes; Mucorales; Lichtheimiaceae. The record is from RNAcentral.